This 345-nucleotide unclassified non-coding RNA is filed under the name soil metagenome. RNAcentral's name for it is "partial contains 5.8S ribosomal RNA, internal transcribed spacer 2, and large subunit ribosomal RNA". The stretch from base 1 to 120 matches the Rfam family "5.8S ribosomal RNA", at positions 35 to 154 of the family's 154-position model. The record is from RNAcentral.
GAUGAAGAACGCAGCGAAAUGCGAUAAGUAAUGUGAAUUGCAGAAUUCAGUGAAUCAUCGAAUCUUUGAACGCACCUUGCGCCCUUUGGCAUUCCGAAGGGCAUGCCUGUCCGAGCGUCAUUGCUGCCCUCAAGCACGGCUUGUGUGUUGGGCCUCCGUCCUCCUCCCGGGGGACGGGCCCGAAAGGCAGCGGCGGCACCGCGUCCGGUCCUCGAGCGUAUGGGGCUUCGUCACCCGCUCUUGUAGGCCCGGCCGGCGCUUGCCGACACAUCAAUCUUUUUUCCAGGUUGACCUCGGAUCAGGUAGGGAUACCCGCUGAACUUAAGCAUAUCAAUAAGCGGAGGA